CAGGCAGAAGGGUCAGACAGGCUAGAUGUCAGGGCAGGCAGAGGGGUCAGACAGGCUAGAUGUCAGGGCAGGCAGAGGGGUCAGACAGGCUAGAUGUCAGGGCAGGCAGAGGGGUCAGACAGGCUAGAUGUCAGGCAGAGGGGUCAGACAGGCUAGAUGUCAGGCAGAGGGGUCAGACAGGCUAGAUGUCAGGGCAGGCAGAGGGGUCAGACAGGCUAGAUGUCAGGGCAGGUAGAGGGGUCAGACAGGCUAGAUGUCAGGGCAGGCAGAGGGGUCAGACAGGCUAGAUGUCAGGGCAGGCAGAGGGGUCAGACAGGCUAGAUGUCAGGGCAGGCAGAAGGGUCAGACAGGCUAGAUGUCAGGGCAGGCAGAGGGGUCAGACAGGCUAGAUGUCAGGGCAGGCAGAGGGGUCAGACAGGCUAGAUGUCAGGGCAGGCAGAAGGGUCAGACUGGUACGAGUCCAGAAAAAAGGGUAAAAACCAGGAAGACUAG
Long non-coding RNA from Oncorhynchus tshawytscha (Chinook salmon), 492 nucleotides. The record is from Ensembl. Lineage: Eukaryota; Metazoa; Chordata; Actinopteri; Salmoniformes; Salmonidae.